Molecule: long non-coding RNA, 2575 nt
Organism: Bactrocera dorsalis (oriental fruit fly)
Lineage: Eukaryota; Metazoa; Arthropoda; Insecta; Diptera; Tephritidae
Exons: 2
Source: RefSeq, a predicted model, not a curated record
AAAAAUAGAAACAUGAGUUUAAUCAAUUAUCGCGUGGAAAGGAAAUUAGUUCCUACCUACAUGUGUUUGUAUGAACUUUAACUGACUUUCCAUAACAAAUUGUAAUUGAUUUUAUGAAAUAUUAGUAAUUUCAAAGCAGUUUUAUUUUGUUUUUAACAUUUUUAACACACAUUUCACAAUUUUGAGGUAUAUUGAGGUUGAAGAAGUUUGGAUCCUCUCCAUUCCAUAUCCACUAACCCAUUUUCAGAAUAACAUCCUUCAAGGGGAUCUGUAGGUCGAUGAUAAUAGAAACUCGUGAAACAAAAUGAAAAAACAAGGUCAAAAAGGUUUCGAAGUUCGGGUAAUUAGAACGUGUCUUCAACUACAUAUAUGUAACUGAUUCAAUCUCAAUGCGCUGUGGGCGCUACUAAACAAUAUAAUCCAUUCUGAUCCUAUCAAGAACUACUGUUAGUUGGGAAAUGACAGAGCUCGUAGUGACAACAGAUACCCUUUAACGUCCUUCCAUUGGCCAAAGAAAUACAUUUGCAUUAAUUAAUGUUGACUAAAUGGGAGAAGAGGCAGGACCAAUCGGGAAAGGGAGCAGAAAGGGAGUCUAUGACCUAUAAUAUGAAUAAACAACAGCUCAUAUGCCCAUCCUUCAUUAUACUUGUAUAUCUUAAACAUUACUCCAACUCAUAACAGUGUAUCUUUGUGCCUAAAAUAGAUAAAAAUGAGAACUUGACCUAGCCCCCAUUCAGGAUUUGUCCGGAAACUAAUAGGACUGAGUCGAUUUAAAAAAAUUUAUUGAACCAAUCGUUAUAAUUCUUUAAAAACUUUCAAAAUAGGCUCCUUCUGCGUCGAUGCAGCACUGCCAGCGCGAUUUUCAAGCAUUGAAGGCGUCACGGAAGGCAUUGUCCGGAAUAGCCUUGAAAGCUGAGGUGCAUGCUGCUUGGAUCCCCUUUCAUCGCCUUUUCAGGCAAGGAAACAAAAAAAGUCCGCGGGGCCACAUCUGGACUGUAGGGCGGCUGCGGAAACGUUGGGAUGCCGGCCUUGGUUAAAUAGCUGUUCACAAAAAAGGCGGUGUGAGCCGGGACGUUGUCGUGGCUCACAACAACUUUCAAUCGACUGCGAUGUAUUGUCGGAAACGAUUGACCCUUCGUUUGAGUCUCUUGAGGACUUCCACGUAAAACUUGGCGUUGACGGUUUGUCUAGAAGGAACAAAUUCAUGGUGGACGAUGCCUUUGAUGUCAAAAAAGACAAUGAGCAUCGUUUUCACUUUGGAUUUGCUCAUUCUUUCGGUCUUCAUCAGCGACCUCUUCCUGACCUUCCAAAGAGGUCUGGUGCCACCGAAACACAACCCUUCUUGCUCAAGCAACAUCUGGUAUUUAAUCGCGCACCUCUGUUCUAACGAACGCUGCAUUUUCGGCUUGCACCACUCACAAAAACACGUCGCCCGAAAAAGUUUGUCCUGACUCUCCAGGUGCUCGGAGACAACUGACCAGCCGCUCGUUCGUUAGCUAGGAACGUCCUCUACCAAAUCCAGUCGGUGCGCGCUCGCACCAAAGUACAGCCACGGUGGAAGAAAAUCAGUCCUAUUACUUUCCGGACAAACCCUGUAUAGCUAAAAUCAGGGGUUUCGAUAAUAUCCGGCUGUCUUUUCUCCAUAUGAUGGGUGAUUGUAUGUGUGGUACCUUGGUAAAACUUGGGCAUAUUGUUUUAAUGUAUGGCAUCUUAGUAGCAUGCGUAGUAGUAGAUAAAAUCAGAUCAAUACUACCCCCAACUCCCGUAUACUACAUUUAAUGAUUUUAAUUUUUCUAACAAAUCUUAUGCCGAAUUUGUCAGCCAUGUUUCCGAUCCUUUGGUUGACUCCGAACUAAGCUCUUCCUUACUUGUUUUUGAAAUACACUUUCAACAUGAUCAUGCCUCUAUAUCUAUACAUAUAGUAUAUUCAUUGAUGUUGGAGCCACCCACUAUAAAGAGAAUCAAGCUGAUCGCAUUGCGCUGGAAGUCGGCGUCAGCAUAUUCAAAUAUUCUAUAUUGCUGCAUAAUCUUACUUAAACGUAAAGUUGUUGGGGUAGCAGCUAGUAAAUAUUUUUUUUUAGCAAAUUAGUCGAUCGAUUUUAAAAAAUUUUAAGAUCCCACUUUAUUUAGAAAUUUAGUGUAAAAAUAUUGUAUGUUGCCUAAAAUCUUGAUUUAAUUGAUAUAUUCGUUAUUUGUGUUUCGUUUUAUUAUUUUUUUCAUACAAAUAUACAGUUUAUUAGAUGGCUACUACACAUAUUACAUAUUUAGUUAUGUUUAUUUUUUUCAUUCGCUUAUAUUUUACAUGCUAAUAUUACAAUUAAAAAACAAGAAGCUUUAAACUUUUGAAACUUCAUAGUUUAGUGGCAAUGGCAGAUUUUUUGUGUUCAUUUUUGUUUAUAUAAACAUUAUAAUUAACACUUGGGCAAGUACUUUUCGACUACAUGUUAUUAUCGCUAGAAACUACAAUGUGACCGUCAUGUUGAAGAUGAGCAUUUUCUAGUACUCGUUAACUGGGUAUAUAGGUAUUUUAAGGAAUUCAUAGCAAUUGGUUACCAGUAAGGUUUUCUUUGUUCUA